RNAcentral lists this ribosomal RNA (301 nucleotides) under uncultured bacterium. RNAcentral describes it as "partial 16S ribosomal RNA". It matches the Rfam family "Bacterial small subunit ribosomal RNA", at positions 509 to 807 of the family's 1533-position model. The record is from RNAcentral.
CAGCAGCCGCGGUAAUACGUAGGGUGCGAGCGUUAAUCGGAAUUACUGGGCGUAAAGCGUGCGCAGGCGGUUGUGCAAGACAGAUGUGAAAUCCCCGGGCUCAACCUGGGAACUGCAUUUGUGACUGGCAAGCUAGAGUGUGGCAGAGGGGGGUGGAAUUCCGCGUGUAGCAGUGAAAUGCGUAGAUAUGCGGAGGAACACCGAUGGCGAAGGCAGCCCCCUGGGCCAACACUGACGCUCAUGCACGAAAGCGUGGGGAGCAAACAGGAUUAGAUACCCCAGUAGUCCCUGUCUCUUAUAC